CAAUUUUAGAGUAAGAGAAAAGGGUCCCCGAGAUGGGAAGAAAACCAAAUAUGGCGGCAGGGAAAUACAUGAUUAUGUUAAUGGUGAAGGUGUCACAACAUGCAAGAUGGGGGAGUUGAGAAGGGUCACAGAAGAAAUUAGGAAUUUCCACAUCCUUGAAGCAGGUCACUUGUAAGGCAAUCAAGUUGUGCAGCUGGGCGUCUAAAAGCUGAGAAAAAAAAAAGACAACAAAACUAGGAAGCCACAGAAACACGGGUUCAUGAUGGCUGAAUGAUAUAGAGGGUGACAGAUGGCUACAAACCGGUCAUAGGCCAUCACACUCAGGAGCAUGUCUCUCUUCCAUGCCUUCAAAAAUGGCAAAGAGAGACAUCUGAAUCAGGCAGCCUGCAUAGGAGGUGACUCUGCUGUGAGACUGGAUGUCCACAAUCAUCUUGGUGACCGUGGUGGAGGUGAAACCGAUGUCAGCCAAGGACAGGUUGGAGAAGAAGAAGUACAUGGGGGUGUGGAGUUGGGAGUCAGGGCUGAUGGCCAGGAUGAUGAGCAGGUUGGAGAGGAAGAAGUACAUGGGGGUGUGGAGGGGAGAGAGAGAGCUGACAGCCAGGAUGCUGAGCAGGUUCCUCAGCACCGUGACCAGAUACAAGGACAGGGACAGGGAGAGCAAAGCGAGGACCAGCUGCAGUUCUAGAUCUUCUGAGAGUCCCAGGAGGAGGAAUUCUCAGACAUCUGUGAGAUUCUGUGGCUCUGUGUGUCUUGGACACCUUGAGAAAGAAAGAGGAUUGGAAAAAUAAAAUAUAAAAUCCAGCCCUUAAUGCUGGAUGCAAGCAAUUCACAAGGAACAUUUUCACACUUGCGGACCAUACACCACCAGCAAUGUUUCUCAGUUAUGACAAUUCCAAAAAAUCUCAGAAUUAUUACAUGAUUUACUUUUUUGCUAUACAAGGCUUUCUGUACAUAGUACUUUAGAGAAAAUCCACUGAAGAAUAUUAGAAGACCAAAACGUCAUAUAUAACAAAUCUGUGAUCUCAGUAAAAUACGGCCUACUCUUUUCAGAAAAAAUACAUUGCAAUGACAAUGUCCUUCUCUCUUUAAGAAAAAGAUCUCAGUCUAAUUGAAAGGAAUUAAGAAGCUGCGAAAUACACUCUAUUUUAUUCUGACACCGUGCUACAACUUCCAUUGAUGUAGAAUAUGUAAAAGGAUGACACAAGAGCUAGGACCCCAUUAUCUGAAAACGAAAUCAAACCUUAUAGUUCUCAAUCGGAAGACCUUUUCACAUGCCUGUUACUUUUCGUAUUUAUUAUCAUCCUUCGGUUUUCUGACAUCAUUUCUUCAUAAAAGUACAUACACACUCAAAGAUGGGAGCUGUGUUUCCAAAUGAAUUGAAUCUAUAACUCUUGGCCCAGCACCAUGGCUCACACCUGUAAUCCCAGCACUUUGGGCGGGCGAGGCUGAUGGAUCACCUGAGGUCAGGAGUUCCAGACCAGCCUGGCCAACGUGGUGAAACCCCGUCUCCAGUGAAAAUAAAAAAAUUAGCCGGGCGUGGUGGCAGGUAACCCUAGUUACUCGGCAGGCUGAAGCAGGAGAAUCCCUUAGAACCUGGAAGGCAGAGAUUGGACACCCUGUGAUAGGAUUUUUGAUAUCUUAGGGAGAUAUUGCUCCUGACAGCAGAGUGGGCGUACAACCUGUGAUAUUAUUUGUAAUAUCCUAGAAAGAUAUUGCUCCUAAUAUCAUGGUGGGUCUACACCCUGUGAUCUUAAUUGUAAUAUCCUACAGAGAUAUUACUCCUAAUAAUACAGUGGGUGUACACCUUGUGAUAUUAUUCAUAAUAUACUACAGAGAUACGACUCCUGAUAUCACAGUGAGUGUACACCAUGUUUGUACACUCUGUGAUCUUAUUUGUAACAACUUAGAAAAAUAUUACAGCUAAUAUCAAAGUGGGUGUACACCCUGCGAUGUUAUUUGUUAUCCACUAGGUAGAUAUUACUCCUAAUAUCACAGUGAGUGUACAUCAUGUGUGUACAGACUGUGAAAUUAUUUGUAAUACCCUAGGAAGAUAUUACUCCUCAUAUCACAGUGGGUGUACACCGUGAGUGAUAUUUUUUUCUAAUAUCCAGCGGGGGAGAGGAUGAUAUUGCUUCCAAUAUCACAGAAGGUGUACACCCCCAUGUGAUAUUGUUCCUAAUAUCCAGGGAAGGAGAGGAUGACAUUAUUCACAAUAUCACUGGGGGUGUACCACCUCCCGCCGGGAUAUUGUUCUUAAUAUCCGGAGGUGGAGAGAAUGAUGUUACUCCCAAUAUCACAGGGGGUGUACACCACCCCUGUUUGUAAACACCCCCUGUGAUAUUGUUCCAAAUGGCCUGUGAAAGAGUAAACAUGACUCCCAUUAUCGCGGGGGGUGUUCAGCCCUUAUGAUAUUGUUUUCUAACAUCCAGGGAAGGAGAGUAUGCUAUUACUCCCAAUAUCGCAGGGUUUGUACACCCUUUUGUGUUUUUGUGCCCAAUAUCCAGGAAAAUAGAGGAUGAUGUUUCUCCCAAUGUCGAAGUAAUUGUACAGCACCCCUGUGAUAUUCUCCUAA
RNAcentral lists this long non-coding RNA (2572 nucleotides) under Pan paniscus (pygmy chimpanzee). RNAcentral describes it as "lncRNA (ENSPPAG00000044680.1)". Lineage: Eukaryota; Metazoa; Chordata; Mammalia; Primates; Hominidae. The record is from RNAcentral.